Papaver somniferum (opium poppy) is the source of this 945-nucleotide long non-coding RNA. RefSeq lists it as uncharacterized. The record is from RefSeq and is a predicted model, not a curated record. The transcript has 4 exons. Lineage: Eukaryota; Viridiplantae; Streptophyta; Magnoliopsida; Ranunculales; Papaveraceae.
UCUUACAUAAAAGUGUUCUUGCAUUAAAUUGUGAUUGGAAAGCAGUAGACGAUGCUUACACUUAGUCUAAUGGGAUCCAACAUUCCAGUUUCUCAUUGGAUCCACGUCAUCAAAAAUAACCGCCCGAUUCUAGUGGGGGUGCAAGAUUCCGCCGAGACAUGCCAUUUGUAAAGACAUGCUAUUUCUAAUGGCGCAACAUCGAAAUAACCAAACACGCCAUUUCUAACGGCGCGUGACUGAGUUGACCGGUCAAUGCGCCAUUUAAAAUGGCGCGACGGAAAAUCCCUAAAAUCAGCAGAACGAGAUCUCUUUCUUCUUUUCUCUUUUCUUCUUAAAUCGAAAACCCCCAUUUUCCUUGUAUGGAUUGAAGAUUGUUUGGUGAUUUUUGGAGGCUAAUCUUUCAAGGGUUUCUUCUACUUGGUGUUGAGAACCAUUGGAUGGUAUUUUGGGUGUUUUUUAUCCACAAAUCAAGGCUAGGACUAUGAUUGGGCAUCUUGCAAAUGACUUUACCAUAGUGGUUAUUUUCUGUACAUGAUCAGGAAGGACUUAUGAUCGGGCUUCUUGCAAAUGACUAUGCAAAGGUGGUUAUUUCCCGCAGGCAAUCAGUAACGUACUAUAGAGCAAGUGUUUGAAGCUUGGACAUGGAAUGUGUUGCAAGGCAGGUGCAAACAAAUAUGGAAUAUCUUGCAUUGCGCCAUUGUUUGGAACAUUUGGAAGGAAAGAAAUAAUAGGGUUUCUGUGGCAAGCCUAAAGAUUCGACUGAGAUUAUAAUCCUUAUUAAGAAAACCUUGGUUCUUUGGAGUUGCGAUAAAGACACUUUCAAGUUCCUAGACAGUAGCCAAGUUCUUCAUAACUGGGAGCUUUCGAUCCAUAUGUAAUUGGUACUGACUUUGUGUCUUUGCUGAGUUAGACUUGUUUUUGGUUGAUUUGGUCCUGUUAUGUCGA